AGAGGCAAGCAUGACAUGUUCGGG
Molecule: non-coding RNA, 24 nt
Filed under: Arabidopsis thaliana (thale cress)
Lineage: Eukaryota; Viridiplantae; Streptophyta; Magnoliopsida; Brassicales; Brassicaceae
Source: RNAcentral